Long non-coding RNA from Chinchilla lanigera (long-tailed chinchilla), 2052 nucleotides. Lineage: Eukaryota; Metazoa; Chordata; Mammalia; Rodentia; Chinchillidae. The record is from Ensembl.
UUUCAUGCCAGCUACAAAGUUUUAAAAGUACUAAGGCAGUAUUGUGGGGAUAUUGGCUCACCAAAUGUCAGCGGUCUAACAGCUUGUCUUUGUGGCCACGUUCCUCCUGGUGGUUUUAUAUUGCAUACGUGUAUUUUCUGCUAGUAAAUUGCUCCUUAUUCAUAUUGGAUUAAGUGUAUUAAAAUUCCAUGGUGGCACCAAAGAACAAACAGCUUCUAGGUGUUCUACCCCUUGCCUAAGCGUGUGAAGAAAUACAACUUGUAAAAUCCAAAUGCUGGUGUCAUUUAUAUAGAUCACGUGCCCAUAGGCACUAUUCAGUGAACUAAGCUUUAGUAAAGGAAGUAUAGAUCCAAGCUGAAGUAGCUCCUGGCUUGUACUUUCAGCAUAAAAAACUGGAAGAUCCCUCGAUAGUGUGCCCUCAUUUGGGCAUUCAACCUAUAAGAUUUUUCCCUUAUUUCCAACUGAAGGUGCAGGCUUACUAGCCUUCUCGAAUUCUGAUUGAAUCUGCUGUAUGUCUAGCGCCAUCCUGUGUCCUGAAAUUACUCAGAGUAAGGCAUAGUCUGGUGAAUAUUUGAGAGUCACUCACCCAGCUAGUUAGCAUUGUUGAAUGAUUUAAGUCUUAGAGUAGAAAAAUGUACCAACUACAGUGAGGGCACAGAAAAUUUGGUGGCUAUAAGAAAUUAGGCAUGGUUUCAUAAAUGACAUUUGAACCAAGCCUUGAAAAGCACAGAUUUGCCUGCUAAUGUCAGAUAAGGAAUAGAGAAAGUGGACAAGAAAGCCAUUGCAGCCACAGCACUGUUUGGGUAAAGUCACAGAGGCAGGGGGCCACAGAGGAGUUCUACUCACCAUGGGGUUUGUCGGCAGGUAAUGACAGAUUUUGUAAGGCUGGAGAUGGUGGCCACGCGUCAGAUCAGAAAGGACAGGCUGAGGGAUUUGAACUCCAUCUUGUAGGAAAUGAAGAAGUACUGAGAGUUUUAAGCAGCUCUGCGAUUAGGCAGACUGAGGUGACUCGUUCUCACUCUGGACCAGAGCAGACCGCAGCUGGCAUGAGACCCUCCAGCGAUCGUCACCGCUCAGCUAGUCGCGGAGGAGUUUCGGUCUUCCUGAACCUGCAGCCUCAUGAUGAGGGAAGCGCCUCACUCGGAGUUCACCGGAGACUGCGGGGCAGUCCCGUCCACAGGGAAGCAACAAACGUUUCUUGUGUGAAGUGACUGAAAUUUGGGGGUUGUUUUUACUACAGUGUAGCCUAGCUGGGGGCUAUAAAAAGGAUUAAGAUGUGCUGUGUGCAUGUACCAGCUCCCCAUGAUGAAUGCGGUCAUUAUGUACUGCAAACAUGUGCUAAUACAAAGAAAAAACUAAAAGAGAAACACACACACAUAAAAAACAGAACAAAACUAAUAUACAACACUUACUGUCCAAGUUACUUCUGACAUAACUUUUAGUCCUCCCUUCCAUCUGUUCAGAUAGACGCCACCGCAAUUCAUUUAUUGCUGACUCAGCAAAGUUGUGAUUGUGAUUUCUCUGAAUCAUUUGACCCAGUUGGCUGUUGUGUUCUGGAAACUUCUCACUCUGGCUGUAAGACACCGGCCAAAAAUAAAAAAAAAGAACAAAAAAAUUCACACAAAAACUUGCAUAUGAAUGUUCAUAGAAAUGUUAUUCAUAAUUGCUAAAAAGUAAAAACAAUGCAGAUGUCCAUCAACGUGAAUAAACAAAAUGUGGUAUAUCCACACAGUGGACUAUUAUUUGGCAAUAUAAAGAAAUGAAGACCUGGUCUUGCUUUGGCAGCACAUGUACUAAAGCAGAAAUGAAGACCUGGUGUAGAACAAUUUGGAUGAACCUUAAAAACAACUUGCUAAGUGAAAGAAGUUACUCAUAAAAGAUUCCAUAUGUAUGAUCCUAUUUAUAUGAAAAAUUCAAAUGGGAAAUCUAUAGAGACAAAGUAGAUUCAUGAUUCUUUAGGAAAGGGCGCUGAAGGAAAUAGAAAGUGACUGCUCAUGGGUAUAAGGUUUCUUUGGGCAGCUGGGAAUGUAGCUCAGAGACAGAAUGCUUGCC